GACGAACGCUGGCGGCGUGCCUAACACAUGCAAGUCGAGCGAAGUGAGUACUACGGUACGAACUUAGCGGCGGACGGGUGAGUAACGCGUGGACAAUCUACCCUGUAGACUGGGAUAACACCUCGAAAGGGGUGCUAAUACCGGAUAAUGUCGAGAAGCGGCAUCGCUUUUCGAAGAAAGGAGAGAAUCCGCUAUAGGAGGAGUCCGCGUCCCAUUAGCUAGUUGGUGAGGGUAACGGCCCACCAAGGCGACGGUGGGUAGCCGGCCUGAGAGGGUGAACGGCCACACUGGAACUGAGACACGGUCCAGACUCUUACGGGAGGCAGCAGUGGGGAAUAUUGUGCAAUGGGGGAAACCCUGACACAGCAACGCCGCGUGAGCGAAGAAGGCCUUCGGGUUGUAAAGCUCAAUAGUAUGGGAAGAUAAUGACGGUACCACACGAAAGCCCGGGCUAACUACGUGCCAGCCGCCGCAGUAA
This 478-nucleotide ribosomal RNA is filed under the name uncultured bacterium. Its description in RNAcentral is "partial 16S ribosomal RNA". It matches the Rfam family "Bacterial small subunit ribosomal RNA", at positions 28 to 523 of the family's 1533-position model. The record is from RNAcentral.